GAUGAACGCUGGCGGCGUGCCUAACACAUGCAAGUCGAGCGAACAGAUGAGGAGCUUGCUCCUCUGACGUUAGCGGCGGACGGGUGAGUAACACGUGGAUAACCUACCUAUAAGACUGGGAUAACAUCGGGAAACCGGAGCUAAUACCGGAUAAUAUAUUGAACCGCAUGGUUCAAUAGUGAAAGACGGUUUUGCUGUCACUUAUAGAUGGAUCCGCGCCGCAUUAGCUAGUUGGUAAGGUAACGGCUUACCAAGGCAACGAUGCGUAGCCGACCUGAGAGGGUGAUCGGCCACACUGGAACUGAGACACGGUCCAGACUCCUACGGGAGGCAGCAGUAGGGAAUCUUCCGCAAUGGGCGAAAGCCUGACGGAGCAACGCCGCGUGAGUGAUGAAGGUCUUCGGAUCGUAAAACUCUGUUAUUAGGGAAGAACAAAUGUGUAAGUAACUAUGCACGUCUUGACGGUACCUAAUCAGAAAGCCACGGCUAACUACGUG
Molecule: ribosomal RNA, 497 nt
Filed under: uncultured bacterium
Lineage: Bacteria
Description: partial 16S ribosomal RNA
Rfam family: Bacterial small subunit ribosomal RNA
Source: RNAcentral